RNAcentral lists this ribosomal RNA (626 nucleotides) under uncultured archaeon. RNAcentral's name for it is "bacterial SSU rRNA". It matches the Rfam family "Archaeal small subunit ribosomal RNA", at positions 146 to 774 of the family's 1478-position model. The record is from RNAcentral.
AUAAUACUCCAUAGAUUAUGGAAUCUGGAAUGAUCCAUAGUUGAAAGUUUCCGGCGCUUAAGGAUCGGUCUGCGGCCUAUCAGGUAGUAGUGGGUGUAACGUACCUACUAGCCGAUGACGGGUAUGGGCCUUGAGAGAGGGAGCCCAGAGUUGGAUUCUGAGACACGAAUCCAGGCCCUACGGGGCGCAGCAGUCGCGAAAACUUCACAAUGGGGGCAACCCCGAUGAGGGAAUUCCUAGUGCUAACACAAUUGUGUUAGCUUUUCUCUAGCGUAGAUAACUAGAGGAAUAAGGGCUGGGAAAGACGGGUGCCAGCCGCCGCGGUAAUACCUGCAGCCCAAGUGGUGGUCGAUAUUAUUGAGUCUAAAACGUUCGUAGCCGGUUCGAUAAAUCUUUGGGUAAAUCGGGGAGCUUAACUUUCCGUCUUCCGAGGAGACUGUCGAACUUGGGACCGGGAGAGGCUAGAGGUACUUCUGGGGUAGGGGUAAAAUCCUGUAAUCCUAGAAGGACCACCGGUGGCGAAGGCGUCUAGCUAGAACGGAUCCGACGGUGAGGGACGAAGCCCUGGGUCGCAAACGGGAUUAGAUACCCCGGUAGUCCAGGGUGUAACGCUGCAGACUUGGUGU